This 211-nucleotide long non-coding RNA is filed under the name Carica papaya (papaya). Its description in RNAcentral is "long non-coding RNA (CPAP_LNC013772)". Lineage: Eukaryota; Viridiplantae; Streptophyta; Magnoliopsida; Brassicales; Caricaceae. The record is from RNAcentral.
UCUUAUUUGGUGUCAAUUACUAGUUUACAUGUAUUGUAUGAUUGGAUGAUUGAGAUUAAGGAAAAAGGCAAAAAGGUUAUGUGAAUUGAUAAAUGGAAAAUGUGGACAGCCUGACUAGAUAUCCUGGGAGAUGGUGGACGGACCAGGUCAGUAGGGAACCCUUCCGGGAACGUGGUCUCUCAUACCGGACGGGGUAUGGAGACCUUAUGUG